UACGGGGGGGGCAAGCGUUGUUCGGAAUUACUGGGCGUAAAGGGCUCGUAGGCGGCCAACUAAGUCGGAUGUGAAAUCCCCAAGCUUAGCUUGGGAACUGCAUCCGAUACUGGAUGGCUUGAAUCCGGGAGAGGGAUGCAGAAUUCCAGGUGUAGCGGUGAAAUGCGUAGAUAUCUGGAGGAAUACCGGUGGCGAAGGCGGCAUCCUGGACCGGCAUUGACGCUGAGGAGCGAAGGCUAGGGGAGCAAACGGG
This 253-nucleotide ribosomal RNA is filed under the name uncultured bacterium. RNAcentral describes it as "partial 16S ribosomal RNA". It matches the Rfam family "Bacterial small subunit ribosomal RNA", at positions 524 to 776 of the family's 1533-position model. The record is from RNAcentral.